CCUUAGAGUUUGAUCCUGGCUCAGGACGAACGCUGGCGGCGUGCUUAACACAUGCAAGUCGAACGAUGAAGCCUUUCGGGGUGGAUUAGUGGCGAACGGGUGAGUAACACGUGGGCAAUCUGCCCUUCACUCUGGGACAAGCCCUGGAAACGGGGUCUAAUACCGGAUAACACUUCUGCCUGCAUGGGCGGGGGUUAAAAGCUCCGGCGGUGAAGGAUGAGCCCGCGGCCUAUCAGCUUGUUGGUGGGGUAAUGGCCUACCAAGGCGACGACGGGUAGCCGGCCUGAGAGGGCGACCGGCCACACUGGGACUGAGACACGGCCCAGACUCCUACGGGAGGCAGCAGUGGGGAAUAUUGCACAAUGGGCGAAAGCCUGAUGCAGCGACGCCGCGUGAGGGAUGACGGCCUUCGGGUUGUAAACCUCUUUCAGCAGGGAAGAAGCGAGAGUGA
This 451-nucleotide ribosomal RNA is filed under the name Streptomyces sp. 3BG7. Its description in RNAcentral is "bacterial SSU rRNA". It matches the Rfam family "Bacterial small subunit ribosomal RNA", at positions 1 to 459 of the family's 1533-position model. The record is from RNAcentral. Lineage: Bacteria; Bacillati; Actinomycetota; Actinomycetes; Kitasatosporales; Streptomycetaceae.